GAAUGUGGUUUGGGCUUUGAAAAUAGCUAGAUUUCAACGGCGAUUAAAUUCAGUUUAAUAAUUCAAAAUUCACAUACACACACAUAGAUGUAUAUAGGUGUUCCAUAUCAUAUCCGUGCGAAAACAAGAAAAGAAAAAGCCUCUCUUUCCGAGAGAGACACUGCCAGUGUCCCCGAAAUUCGUCGGAGCUUCUGUAGCCGCACGAUGAGCAUCAGCCGACCGGCGGUGCACCCGAUGGAGACAGUUCCGCCGCUACAGACCUCCGGAGCGGGAGACUGACUUCCGAUGACGAUGAAGGAGCCUCAAGGCAUGCCCGGAACCAUCGGCGGCCUCUUCCUCGGCCUCUCUGUUCGUUUCCGCCGUCAUCUUCGUCGCCUUUAUGGCCACCACCUUCGACUUCCGAUCUGCCACCGCUUUCUGAUCACGUCCACCAUCCACUAUCUGCUUCUGAAACUGCUGGCAUAUCGUGAACCACUGCACGAGGUUUGAGGCUGCCAUAUCAAUGGCCUUCAUCAUCCGGUUCGCCUUGUCUCACUUCCUUCAUUCUGAACUUCUGGACUUAAGCCACCCAUUGACACAGGAACUAUAGUAUAGAAAAUAAGGGUGAAGAAAAUAAGUCCAUAGAACAAGAAUGCCUUGGGAGUGUGCCUGCAUCAUGGUACUAGAGUGUUAUCAGUAUCAAAUUCGGAGAGAUUGGAGGCUAAACGAGUGAUUUCUACGGGAGGAGAAACUUCGAGUUCCAAGGAACAAAAUCAUACUGGUGCUUGGACUAAGAUAAUUCCUAAUAGGAAUAGUUACUUUGCCAGCCUUCAAGGAUUAAAAUUUUAUAGCCUAAGUAGCCGAAUGAGAGUAUUCAUAAGGAUAGUUUAAGCUUCUGGUUUUACCAAAGAUCCAUCCUUCUUGAAGACAUAUUUAUGAUGGGAUGUUGUCGAAAUCUUGUGACGGAGAAAGGAGAAAGCGGAAAAAACGUGAAGGGGGGGUAAUGGUCCGUUUUCGGGUAUGAAGCCUUCUGGAUGGAAACGUGAUUAGUAAGUACGUCGGCGAGAUAGAGCAAUUGGAGCUAAUGACUACAUACCAAACUAAGAGGUACAUUUGCUCACAUUUUUCACCUUAGCUUUUUGUUGUUUCUUUUGUCUUUUGACCUUAGAAACAGUCUUGGAACUGAAACUUCUCCAUAGUUUUCAGGAACUGUAAUCUUUGUUGGAAGCUAUAAGAGAAGAAUUGUGGUAGAUGUAAUGAAGUGUUCAUGGUGUGGAGUCGUUCUACUAUCAUUAAGUGUAAACAUUCGAUGUGAUUUAAAGGGUAAUAACUUCAUUCAUUAGUUAUGUUUUUACAAGUUUUCUAAUCAAACAAGUAAAUAAAAAUGCAACUCA
Tarenaya hassleriana is the source of this 1373-nucleotide long non-coding RNA. RefSeq lists it as uncharacterized. Lineage: Eukaryota; Viridiplantae; Streptophyta; Magnoliopsida; Brassicales; Cleomaceae. The record is from RefSeq and is a predicted model, not a curated record. The transcript is spliced from 2 exons.